UGUCCAGUAGCACCUUAGAGACCAACUAAGUUUGUUCUGGGUAUAAGCUUUCGUGUGCAUGCACACUUCUUUAGAUACUUUGGUAUCUGAAACUUAGUUGGUCUCCAAGGUGCUACUGGACA
Molecule: non-coding RNA, 122 nt
Organism: Podarcis lilfordi (Lilford's wall lizard)
Lineage: Eukaryota; Metazoa; Chordata; Lepidosauria; Squamata; Lacertidae
Source: the annotation of a GenBank genome assembly